Mycena latifolia is the source of this 91-nucleotide non-coding RNA. Lineage: Eukaryota; Fungi; Basidiomycota; Agaricomycetes; Agaricales; Mycenaceae. The record is from the annotation of a GenBank genome assembly.
GGCUUGGUGGCGUAAUGGUAACGCGCUCCAUGUACCUGACGUUUUCAUAUCGGCUGAUGGAGGGUUCGGAGUUCGAUUCUCCGUCAAGCCA